AUUGGUGGAGCCGAGACUCCCUGGCCGCCCAGCGCUGUUUUGCUUGCUGUUGCUUACUCAAUAAAUUCCUUUCUAUUAUUAAUGCAAUGCUCUCUGAAAAUUAAUUAAGGGGGCAACUUAUAACAAAUUUGGUGCCGUGACUCGGAUGAAGGCAAUCUGAUUGAAAGACCUUCGGAGGGGGCGCCCUGCUGAUUUCAGCGGCCUUCGCUAGGACUACUUUCAUUCAAAUCCUUCACCGACGAACCCUAAAUUCGGCAGCAAGCAAAUAAAGCCGGCAACCCCUAGUAAUCUUUGUGCACGAAGACCGAACGAAGACUCAGGAGUGAAAACGGCUAUUCAAACUGCGGAGAAAAGAUGGACGCAUGCCAGCCGUGUGAAAGGACCAAUCCGGGAAGGUAAAUGGGAGGCAGCUCCAGGCCCUGACGACUUGAAGCUGACACUAAGACGGACUCGAUAAGUAUUUUAUAUUAUCUGUGUAUCAUGGGAAGGGGAGGAGGCCCUGUUUCAAAGGCUCCCUAGUAGGUUCCCCUGAAGAACACUGCUGCUGCCAAGAAGAACCGAUACCUUGUAGUUCGCUGCAACCGAACUGACAAGCGAGGCAGAGAAGUGAAAACGGUGGGGGACUGAGGGGCCGACAAUUUAGAUGGGCUCCAACCACCUCCUACGAUACAUGGGAGUCAGUAUCAUCGUUUUGGUCAGCUAUGGGUCUGCGCAUCCCCAUCAGCCUUUUAAAUGGAGCUUGAUCAGAUGGAAGGAUCAAUUCGUCAUCCAGCAAACAAUGACAGCAGGUGAUAAUUAUACCAAGGAUUCUAUACCACCCUGAGGAUUGUAUGUAUACCCAGCACACAGUGGCAAGGCAUCAUCUGGAAAGAUGGGAACCAUUCACGGCUCUAACUUUGGCCACCCUAAUAAUCCUGGGAGGAGCUGGAGUGGGGACCAGGGUAGCCUCAUUGGUUAAACAAAAUCAAGAAUUUGCUUCUUACACAUUGCUGUGGACGAGGACCUGACCCAAAUUGAACAAUCCAUCUCGGCCCUGGAAAAUCUAUCAGGUUGCUUUCAGAGGUAGUGUUACAAAAUCAUAGGGGAUUAGAUUUGGUAUUUUUUUACAACAGGACGGGCUGUGUGCAGCCCCAAAAGAGGAAUGCUGUGUGUAUGCUGAUCACACCGGAGAGGUAAGAGAUACAAUGGCAAGACCCAGGGAAGGGUUG
Molecule: non-coding RNA, 1208 nt
Organism: Anas platyrhynchos (mallard)
Lineage: Eukaryota; Metazoa; Chordata; Aves; Anseriformes; Anatidae
Source: RefSeq, a predicted model, not a curated record